Non-coding RNA from Gasterosteus aculeatus aculeatus (three-spined stickleback), 1075 nucleotides. The record is from RefSeq and is a predicted model, not a curated record. Lineage: Eukaryota; Metazoa; Chordata; Actinopteri; Perciformes; Gasterosteidae.
CUUCGAUGUGCUCUGUUGCUAUGGAAACCAGGCGGAGGUCCUUGCCGGCCUGACAGAACCCUGAGGAGGACAGAUGUGUGGAGAUAGAGGAUCAGGAAACAGACCCAGCAUUAUGCCACAGACAGACUUCUUCCUACCGUCGAUGUUACCAGGAAACGGCUCCGGCUCCAGGUAGAGCUGUGUGAAGAUGGGCUGCGGAUCUCCACUGCUGGAGCGCAGCGACGCCUCGAUGGAGUUGUGGAGAGCCUCCUCAAAUCGGGCAGAUUUCAGUUGCCCGGCAUAUGAAUUCCCCAUUAUCUGUGAGGGCAAUUCAAAAGUCGUCGCAUUGAACUCUGGGUUAUUUGGGUUGGGAAUUUUUCCAUCUCUCCCAAACUAUUUAUCGAUUAAUCAGCGUUCUGGUCCACCAGAAGAUCCAGAUGAUAAUGGGAGAAGCUGCGGUGGUCUUUCUCCUUCUGUCUGUCGUGUCACUCUGCCUGCUCGCCGGCCCCCCACCACCCCAAUGUGUCCACUCUGGGACAUCUGCCGGGGGUCGGCUGUGCGGGCCUUAGGUUGGCCGGCUCUAUCCGGCGGCAGCUGGACGGAGGGCCAAGCAUGCAGAGUCAAAGAAAAGGAGCCGGGGGGGGCAGCGGGGGGGGGGGGGGGGGGGGGGGGGUUGAAAUGAAAGAGUAGCAGUGACCGAAGGCUACGCAGUGUCCAUUCAUAACACACUGGCGCUUCCCACUCAAACUCUUCCCGGUUUGUCAUAACAUUUCACACAAUCUGCUCUCCAUAAGGAGGCGGCGAUAACGACUGAAAGCAAAGGGAGUUCUGGCCGCUUUCCCGACUCGCCCGUGUUCGGCCUUGGACUGCGGUGGACUGGUGAGGAUCGGCGGUCUGGUUCUCUCAGCUUGAAGACUUCCGCUGUUUGGAUAAAGCCGUUGAGGGCACUUGAAGUUUGGCAAUAUAACUAACCCGUGAUUUUAAUUAUUGUUUCACACCUUUAACCCGUCAUUAACCUUGGAUUUGAGAUAAUUAUGCUGCUAUAAAAACAGCUUGCAAAAACAACAUAACGUAAAACAAUAAAAUGUCAGAAAGA